UAGAAACAGAAGCAGAAAAGCUGGGAGCUCCAAAGUUCACAUCCCCUCUUGUGGGACUUCGCAUUAGUAUGUGAAGCUGUUGGGUAAUAGGAACCCCAGCCUUUGUCGCUUGGAUGUAUCCUGGCAACCUGUCAACAAAAGGGACAAGGCUAAGUUUUCUAGCAACCAAUCGGGAAAAUCCAAAACAGGGAGCAAAGGUAUCAGAAACAGACAAGGAAAUAGGUUCCCAUUCCAGAAUCCUACUCCAGCAGCAACUACUGUUACCAGUUUCUUGUGUGUCCUUCCAGAAUAUUCAUGCAUUUUUGAAAUCAUUUUGAAUAUUGAAUAUUGCCUUCUGACCUUCAGGCUGGUGCCCUUCUGAUCCUUCUUUGUGGCUACCAUAACUUCUAUUGCUCAAGAUGAGACAUGACAAAACAGAUGACACAUUUGUGCUGUUGGAGGAAAACUCAGUGACUCAGAUAGACACAAAUUGUUCCAUGCACCUUUCAUCCUCAUUACCAGGUAUCUUUGCCAAGGUCAAGUGGUGACAUUCUGAUUUAUCACCAAACUGAAUGGAUGUAACUCACAUUUGAAGAGAAUGUGAAAUUCAAAUACCAAAAAGAAAUAAAAUAUGUUUACCUAAGGUU
This is a non-coding RNA of Ictidomys tridecemlineatus (thirteen-lined ground squirrel), 626 nucleotides long. The record is from RefSeq and is a predicted model, not a curated record. Lineage: Eukaryota; Metazoa; Chordata; Mammalia; Rodentia; Sciuridae.